Long non-coding RNA from Diachasmimorpha longicaudata, 648 nucleotides. RefSeq lists it as uncharacterized. NCBI's taxonomy places the organism in Eukaryota, Metazoa, Arthropoda, Insecta, Hymenoptera, Braconidae. The transcript is spliced from 2 exons. The record is from RefSeq and is a predicted model, not a curated record.
CCGCGCAUAGCAACGGAUUUUUUUACAUAUUUUCCGCGGUGCGAUUAUCUCAGAAUAAAACUGUCAGAUUUUUGUUUAAAAGUUGACAGCAUUUGUUUCCUACGGGCGUUGUGUGGUCGGUUCGCAAUCAGCAUCGCGCGCGAGAAAUGAGAGGUUGGCAAAAGUGUCGUGGAUGGAAAAUGCGCUGAGAAGACAGAGAAAAGACUAGGGGAAUCCCUAGUUCUCUCUUUCCGUGCACCAUGGCGAACUUGGAGGACGCCGAUUACGAGCUGAUGGAUUUUGAGGAUGAAUUGCUACCUUUGGCCCAAAACCGCGCCGCUGAGCUUUGGCCGCCACUGACAGCAGCAGCAGCAGCAAAAAAAAGACCGCCACCACAACUGCCACCAGGACGGAGACCAGCAGCAGCACCACAGCAGCAACGCGGUCUAUCAGGGGGAACGGAAAUUGUUUAAUUUUAGUCUAGAGAGAGUUAGAUCAGGUAACAGAUGGACAUUUACUAAAAGAAGUGUAAAAUCUCUUGGCUAUUUUGCAAAAAUGCUUGAAAUCCCCCCAAAAACAAAAACAAAAAAUGUUUUUGUAAAAAAAUGCGCCAAGCAUAUAUUUCGAUGUUGUUCAUUUGAAAAAAUAAAUUGAAAAAAAAACUUAAAA